RNAcentral lists this ribosomal RNA (2932 nucleotides) under Enterobacter cloacae. RNAcentral describes it as "bacterial LSU rRNA". It matches the Rfam family "Bacterial large subunit ribosomal RNA". Lineage: Bacteria; Pseudomonadati; Pseudomonadota; Gammaproteobacteria; Enterobacterales; Enterobacteriaceae. The record is from RNAcentral.
GGGUUGUGAGGUUAAGCGACUAAGCGUACACGGUGGAUGCCCUGGCAGUCAGAGGCGAUGAAGGACGUGCUAAUCUGCGAAAAGCGCCGGCGAGGUGAUAUGAACCCUUGACCCGGCGAUGUCCGAAUGGGGAAACCCAGUGCAAUCCGUUGCACUAUCGUUAACUGAAUACAUAGGUUAACGAGGCGAACCGGGGGAACUGAAACAUCUAAGUACCCCGAGGAAAAGAAAUCAACCGAGAUUCCCCCAGUAGCGGCGAGCGAACGGGGAGCAGCCCGGAGUCUGAAUCAGCUUGUGUGUUAGUGGAACGGUCUGGAAAGUCCGACGGUACAGGGUGAUAGUCCCGUACACGAAAGCACACUUGCUGUGAACUCGAAGAGUAGGGCGGGACACGUGGUAUCCUGUCUGAAUAUGGGGGGACCAUCCUCCAAGGCUAAAUACUCCUGACUGACCGAUAGUGAACCAGUACCGUGAGGGAAAGGCGAAAAGAACCCCGGCGAGGGGAGUGAAAAAGAACCUGAAACCGUGUACGUACAAGCAGUGGGAGCCUCUUUAUGGGGUGACUGCGUACCUUUUGUAUAAUGGGUCAGCGACUUAUAUUCUGUAGCAAGGUUAACCGUAUAGGGGAGCCGAAGGGAAACCGAGUCUUAACUGGGCGUUAAGUUGCAGGGUAUAGACCCGAAACCCGGUGAUCUAGCCAUGGGCAGGUUGAAGGUUGGGUAACACUAACUGGAGGACCGAACCGACUAAUGUUGAAAAAUUAGCGGAUGACCUGUGGCUGGGGGUGAAAGGCCAAUCAAACCGGGAGAUAGCUGGUUCUCCCCGAAAGCUAUUUAGGUAGCGCCUCGUGAACUCAUCUUCGGGGGUAGAGCACUGUUUCGGCUAGGGGGCCAUCCCGGCUUACCAACCCGAUGCAAACUACGAAUACCGAAGAAUGUUAUCACGGGAGACACACGGCGGGUGCUAACGUCCGUCGUGAAGAGGGAAACAACCCAGACCGCCAGCUAAGGUCCCAAAGUCAUGGUUAAGUGGGAAACGAUGUGGGAAGGCACAGACAGCCAGGAUGUUGGCUUAGAAGCAGCCAUCAUUUAAAGAAAGCGUAAUAGCUCACUGGUCGAGUCGGCCUGCGCGGAAGAUGUAACGGGGCUAAACCAUGCACCGAAGCUGCGGCAGCGACGCUUAUGCGUUGUUGGGUAGGGGAGCGUUCUGUAAGCCGUUGAAGGUGUCCUGUGAGGGGUGCUGGAGGUAUCAGAAGUGCGAAUGCUGACAUAAGUAACGAUAAAGCGGGUGAAAAGCCCGCUCGCCGGAAGACCAAGGGUUCCUGUCCAACGUUAAUCGGGGCAGGGUGAGUCGACCCCUAAGGCGAGGCCGAAAGGCGUAGUCGAUGGGAAACAGGUUAAUAUUCCUGUACUUGGUGUUACUGCGAAGGGGGGACGGAGAAGGCUAUGUCAGCCGGGCGACGGUUGUCCCGGUUUAAGCAUGUAGGCGGAGGUUCCAGGUAAAUCCGGUACCUUAUUAACGCUGAGGUGUGAUGACGAGGCACUACGGUGCUGAAGUGAUAAAUGCCCUGCUUCCAGGAAAAGCCUCUAAGCAUCAGGUAACACGAAAUCGUACCCCAAACCGACACAGGUGGUCAGGUAGAGAAUACCAAGGCGCUUGAGAGAACUCGGGUGAAGGAACUAGGCAAAAUGGUGCCGUAACUUCGGGAGAAGGCACGCUGAUAUGUAGGUGAAGUCCCUGCGGACGGAGCUGAAAUCAGUCGAAGAUACCAGCUGGCUGCAACUGUUUAUUAAAAACACAGCACUGUGCAAACACGAAAGUGGACGUAUACGGUGUGACGCCUGCCCGGUGCCGGAAGGUUAAUUGAUGGGGUUAGCGGCAACGCGAAGCUCUUGAUCGAAGCCCCGGUAAACGGCGGCCGUAACUAUAACGGUCCUAAGGUAGCGAAAUUCCUUGUCGGGUAAGUUCCGACCUGCACGAAUGGCGUAAUGAUGGCCAGGCUGUCUCCACCCGAGACUCAGUGAAAUUGAACUCGCUGUGAAGAUGCAGUGUACCCGCGGCAAGACGGAAAGACCCCGUGAACCUUUACUAUAGCUUGACACUGAACACUGGUCCUUGAUGUGUAGGAUAGGUGGGAGGCUUUGAAGCGUGGACGCCAGUCUGCGUGGAGCCAACCUUGAAAUACCACCCUUUAAUGGCUGGUGUUCUAACGUAGACCCGUAAUCCGGGUUGCGGACAGUGUCUGGUGGGUAGUUUGACUGGGGCGGUCUCCUCCCAAAGAGUAACGGAGGAGCACGAAGGUUGGCUAAUCCUGGUCGGACAUCAGGAGGUUAGUGCAAUGGCAUAAGCCAGCUUGACUGCGAGCGUGACGGCGCGAGCAGGUGCGAAAGCAGGUCAUAGUGAUCCGGUGGUUCUGAAUGGAAGGGCCAUCGCUCAACGGAUAAAAGGUACUCCGGGGAUAACAGGCUGAUACCGCCCAAGAGUUCAUAUCGACGGCGGUGUUUGGCACCUCGAUGUCGGCUCAUCACAUCCUGGGGCUGAAGUAGGUCCCAAGGGUAUGGCUGUUCGCCAUUUAAAGUGGUACGCGAGCUGGGUUUAGAACGUCGUGAGACAGUUCGGUCCCUAUCUGCCGUGGGCGCUGGAGAAUUGAGGGGGGCUGCUCCUAGUACGAGAGGACCGGAGUGGACGCAUCACUGGUGUUCGGGUUGUCAUGCCAAUGGCACUGCCCGGUAGCUAAAUGCGGAAGAGAUAAGUGCUGAAAGCAUCUAAGCACGAAACUUGCCCCGAGAUGAGUUCUCCCUGAGACUUUAAGUCUCCUGAAGGAACGUUGAAGACGACGACGUUGAUAGGUCGGGUGUGUAAGCGCAGCGAUGCGUUGAGCUAACCGAUACUAAUGAACCGUGAGGCUUAACCUUACAACGCCGAAGCUGUU